UUAAAGUCUAACCUGCCCACUGAAAUUUUAAAUGGCCGCAGUAUUCUAACUGUGCAAAGGUAGCAUAAUCAUUAGUCUUUUAAUUGAAGGCUGGAAUGAAUGGUUGGACGAAAUAUUAACUGUUUCAUUUAGAUUUUUUAUAGAAUUUUAUUUUUUAGUCAAAAAGCUAAAAUUUAUUUAAAAGACGAGAAGACCCUAUAAAUCUUUAUAUUUUGUUAAUUUUAAUUAUAAAGAUUAUUUUUGUUAUAAUUAAUAAAAAUAUUUUAUUGGGGUGAUAUUAAAAUUUAAAAAACUUUUAAUUUUUUAAACCAUUAAUAUAUGAAUAAUUGAUCCAUUAAUAAUGAUUAAAAAUUUAAGUUACUUUAGGGAUAACAGCGUAAUUUUUUUGGAGAGUUCAUAUCGAUAAAAAAGAUUGCGACCUCGAUGUUGGAUUAAGAUAUAAUUUUGGGUGUAGCCGUUCAAAUUUUAAGUCUGUUCGACUUUUAAAUUCUUACAUGAUCUGAGUUCAAACCGGCGUAAGCCAGGUUGGUUUCUAUCUUUAAAAAAUUGUAAUAUUUUAGUACGAAAGGACCAAAUAUUAAAAUAAUUAUAUUUUUAAUAAGAAUAUUAUUAAUUUAA
RNAcentral lists this ribosomal RNA (618 nucleotides) under Scaptomyza frustulifera. RNAcentral describes it as "partial 16S ribosomal RNA". It matches the Rfam family "Bacterial large subunit ribosomal RNA", at positions 1895 to 2743 of the family's 2925-position model. The record is from RNAcentral. Lineage: Eukaryota; Metazoa; Arthropoda; Insecta; Diptera; Drosophilidae.